This is a long non-coding RNA of Brassica napus (rape), 2261 nucleotides long. RefSeq lists it as uncharacterized. NCBI's taxonomy places the organism in Eukaryota, Viridiplantae, Streptophyta, Magnoliopsida, Brassicales, Brassicaceae. The record is from RefSeq and is a predicted model, not a curated record. The transcript is spliced from 3 exons.
AAAAAUUAAGUUAAGCAACAGAUCCUGGGGUUUUUAAGAACCACCUCUUGCAAGACACGUGUGGCAAGAAGAGAGUAUUGCGUUUACUCCAUCUCUCUCUCGACGGUUCAAUGCAGCGAUUGAUUUCUCUCUGUUGAUCUUCUGAUUCAACACUCCGGCUCUCUCUGUUGCUCUCAACGAUGAUGAAUCACUGCCUCUUACCGGCGGUGUUGAGAGUAUUCGCGGUGAUGACGACGGCGCCGAGAGACAUGACGGCGAGGGAGACGACGGGGAAAUAGAUAGAGUUGGGAGAGAGGAUGAGGACGACGUGGCCAGUGGCGGUGGCGGUGUCGAUGAAGGUGGUGGCCAGUGGCGGCGUCGAUGAAGGCGGUGGUUCCGCGGUGAGACUGAGAGGAGAUGAAAGUGGUGACAUCAACUUUGUAUUAUUGUCUGAACCCAGUUGCUCGUUAUUACUAUACACUUAAAGAUGCUAUGGGGUGUGGGAAAAGAAGAUAUACGGCUGUCAAAGAUGCAGACGACAUGGAAACAUGAGUAUAUGACAAACCUCUGCCUUGCUUUGGUUGUGGAAUCGGAUGGUUCUCCUUUCUACUAGGUUUUGUGUUCCCUCCUUUGUGAUGGAAGAUGAGGGCGUUGAAAGAUUUGGGAUUGGAUGUGAUAAAAGGAACCAUCUCAACUGAAGGAUCCGUUAAGCAGACCAAAUUUUCUAUAACAAAACUGUAAGCAACGCCGUUCUGUCCCUGCUCCUCUUUUGCCUUUAUGUGUUUUUCUAUCACUUAUUAGACCACUUCCCCGCCCUUGGCUCAGGAGUCUACUAGCUCUGGUCCUUCAAUGGUGAAUGGGUUCAUAUUUAUGUUUAAUAAUAAAAAAGGGUUCAUAUUUAUGUUUAAUAAAAAAAAAAAUCCUUAAAAACCCUUAGUUUAAGAACCUACCAUUGGAGCAAUUAAACUAAACGUUUUUUAACAAAAGUUCUUAAUCUACAUUUAUUACUAAAAUACUCAUUAAGAACUCCUAAUGGAGUUCCAUGGUUAAUCAUGCUCUUAGAGUCCGUUUUAAAUGCAGUGGCAAAUUGUGGUAGUUGGUCAGUCUAUAUGGACCGGCGGCUGUACUCAAAGUGAAGUUAGUGACAAAUAUCCACUUACCUUUCAAUUUCGAGCUAUUUAUAUUUAUGUUACGAUAUAAUAAUAACAAAAUCAUAACUAAAUUUAUUUGUUGAAGUAGUUAUGAUUUUUAGAAAUGAAAUAUUUGUUGUCCUAUAUUUAGGAUCGAUUAGGUACAAUGUUAAUUGUUUGUGUGUUUAAGAAAUAAAUAUCUCGAACAACUAAGAAUUUUAGUUACUCAUUCCGUUUCAUUUUAAUUGUCGUUUUACGCUUAUGAAAAUAUAUUAAAAAAUAUUUAAUUUUGCAUAUUUACUAAAUAAAAAUAUCAUUAUCGAUACUGCGAUACACCUAAACACAUUUUAACCUAUAGAAAAAUAGGAUGGACUAUAAAGUCAAUAAAUUUUAUAUUGAAACUAUAAGGCACUACUUAUUUUGAAACGAAAAUUUUAUUGGAGCGGGUAUGAAGAAAAUACGAAGCUUGAGGAGAAAGUUGGCGUAUAUCAUAGUUUCCAUGAGUCAAGAGUCUUUGUGAAGUAUUAUGUUAACUUUCCCAAAGCUAUUGUAUAGAGAUCAUGUCUUAGGUUUGUAUAUAUGAUGGUGAGAUGUAAUGGAAUGGACAAGAAAUUAAGCACAAAGCUUAUCAUGGUAUCAGAGCUAUAAUAGCAAAAACCCUCAAAAUUUCUCAAGAUCGACAUGAGUAUCACAAAAGAGAAGAAGAACGAGACAGAGAUGAUUCGUGUGGGCGCGGAAGCGCGGAAGCGACACUCUCACCAUACUACCUACAUGAUGCGGAUGGACCUGGAAACACAAUAACUACGGUUCAACUAAUUAAGGGGGAGAACUAUGAAGAAUGGGCAAAGCAUGUGCGGAACGCCUUGCGAAUGAAGGCUUCAUCGAUGGAACUCUGAAGAAACCAACUUAACCAGAAGAUAUCGAACAAUGGGAGGUGGUGAAUGCUAUUAUAGUAGCAUGGAUAAUGAACACCAUUGAACCAACAUCCUUUGUAUGACUGCAUUAUCAUAGUUACUAACAUAGGAGAGGACUAUAGAAAGAGAUGUAAAUAUGAAUCUCUUACAUGGAUAGCUUUUAUAAACACAUUUGGGUUUAUUAACAGUUUGUGACAAGCGAUUUUGUUUUAGUGAAGGAGACCCGUCGCAGCGACAA